CCUUAGAGUUUGAUCCUGGCUCAGGAUGAUUGCUGGCGGCAUGCCUAACACAUGCAAGUCGAACGGACGAGGGGAGCUUGCUCCCCGAGUUAGUGGCGGACGGGUGAGUAAUGCGUGAGCAACCUGCCUAUCAGAGGGGGACAACAGUUGGAAACGACUGCUAAUACCGCAUAACGUGCAUUGGGGGCAUCCCCGAUGUACCAAAGGAGCAAUCCGCUGAUAGAUGGGCUCACGUCUGAUUAGUUAGUUGGUGGGGUAACGGCCUACCAAGACUGCGAUCAGUAGCCGGACUGAGAGGUUGAACGGCCACAUUGGGACUGAGAUACGGCCCAGACUCCUACGGGAGGCAGCAGUGGGGAAUAUUGGGCAAUGGGCGAAAGCCUGACCCAGCAACGCCGCGUGAAGGAAGAAGGUCUUCGGAUUGUAAACUUCUUUUAUGAGGGACGAAGGAAGUGACGGUACCUCAUGAAUAAGCCACGGCUAACUACGUGCCAGCAGCCGCGGUAAUACGUAGGUGGCAAGCGUUAUCCGGAUUUACUGGGUGUAAAGGGCGCGUAGGCGGGGUGGCAAGUCAGAUGUGAAAUCUAUGGGCUCAACUCAUAAACUGCAUUUGAAACUGUCACUCUUGAGUGCUGGAGAGGUAGACGGAAUUCCUUGUGUAGCGGUGAAAUGCGUAGAUAUAAGGAAGAACACCAGUGGCGAAGGCGGUCUACUGGACAGUAACUGACGCUGAGGCGCGAAAGCGUGGGGAGCAAACAGGAUUAGAUACCCUGGUAGUCCACGCUGUAAACGAUGAAUACUAGGUGUGGGAGGACUGACCCCUUCCGUGCCGCAGUUAACACAAUAAGUAUUCCACCUGGGGAGUACGGCCGCAAGGUUGAAACUCAAAGGAAUUGACGGGGGCCCGCACAAGCAGUGGAUUAUGUGGUUUAAUUCGAAGCAACGCGAAGAACCUUACCAGGUCUUGACAUCGAGGAAAAGCUACAGAGAUGUAGUGUGAGCUUGCUCAUCCGAAGACAGGUGGUGCAUGGUUGUCGUCAGCUCGUGUCGUGAGAUGUUGGGUUAAGUCCCGCAACGAGCGCAACCCUUAUGGUCAGUUACUAACGCGUAGCGGCGAGGACUCUGACAAGACUGCCGGGGACAACUCGGAGGAAGGUGGGGACGACGUCAAAUCAUCAUGCCCCUUAUGACCUGGGCUACAAACGUGCUACAAUGGUGGUUACAAAGAGCAGCGAGCCUGUGAAGGUAAGCGAAUCUCAAAAAAGCCAUCUCAGUUCGGACUGUGGGCUGCAACCCGCCCACACGAAGUUGGAGUUGCUAGUAAUCGCGGAUCAGAAUGCCGCGGUGAAUACGUUCCCGGGCCUUGUACUCACCGCCCGUCA
This 1382-nucleotide ribosomal RNA is filed under the name uncultured bacterium. Its description in RNAcentral is "bacterial SSU rRNA". It matches the Rfam family "Bacterial small subunit ribosomal RNA". The record is from RNAcentral.